Molecule: ribosomal RNA, 259 nt
Filed under: uncultured Atopobium sp.
Lineage: Bacteria; Bacillati; Actinomycetota; Coriobacteriia; Coriobacteriales; Atopobiaceae
Description: partial 16S ribosomal RNA
Rfam family: Bacterial small subunit ribosomal RNA
Source: RNAcentral
GGCGAACGGCUGAGUAACACGUGGGCAACCUGCCCUUUGCACUGGGAUAGCCUCGGGAAACCGAGGUUAAUACCGGAUACUCCAUAUUUGUCGCAUGGCGAAUAUGGGAAAGCUCCGGCGGCAAAGGAUGGGCCCGCGGCCUGUUAGCUAGUUGGUGGGGUAGUGGCCUACCAAGGCAAUGAUGGGUAGCCGGGUUGAGAGACCGACCGGCCAGAUUGGGACUGAGACACGGCCCAGACUCCUACGGGAGGCAGCAGCU